This 405-nucleotide long non-coding RNA is filed under the name Oryza brachyantha (malo sina). RNAcentral's name for it is "long non-coding RNA (OBRA_LNC001160)". Lineage: Eukaryota; Viridiplantae; Streptophyta; Magnoliopsida; Poales; Poaceae. The record is from RNAcentral.
CAUCAGGAUGGAAUUUGGAUUGGGUGCAGUCACUAUAGGCCAUGCAACUUCGACAGUUGCGUCAUCCAAGGUGUGCCAAACACUAUUAGUGCUCCAUCGCCAUCAGCUCAAAGAAUUAAACAGUAGAAUUCAUGUCUAUCCAACGCAAGACCAUGCUGUGUCUAAGCACGAAUCACUUACUAAGUGUAAGCAUGCAUCAGUUACUACAUGUAAGCAAAUAUGAUAUAUCCCGGUAAUUUUACGACGAUGAUAAAAUCAUCCUCGUUCGGCAGUCUAAAGAGCCAUGCACUUGUCCGUCAUUAGUGUUAACAAUGACGGUAUCAUCGGUGCUUGCAGCUCGCAUCUCUGCAGACACAACCACCUUUGGCUGCUCUCGCCAUGUUCAACAUGAAGCAUAUCGACAUA